Molecule: RNase P RNA, 388 nt
Filed under: Acidimicrobiaceae bacterium
Lineage: Bacteria; Bacillati; Actinomycetota; Acidimicrobiia; Acidimicrobiales; Acidimicrobiaceae
Description: RNase P RNA component class A
Rfam family: Bacterial RNase P class A
About the family: Ribonuclease P (RNase P) is a ubiquitous endoribonuclease, found in archaea, bacteria and eukarya as well as chloroplasts and mitochondria. Its best characterised activity is the generation of mature 5'-ends of tRNAs by cleaving the 5'-leader elements of precursor-tRNAs.
Source: RNAcentral
UGAGUCGGCCGGGUGGCCGCGGAUUGAGCUGCUUCGGCGGUCCGCAGCCUGCGGAGCAGCACGAAAGGCGCAAUUCGAGGAAGGUCGGGACUCCACAGGGCAGGGAGCUGGCUCACAACCAGGCGCCGCGAGGCGACGGAAAGUGCAGCAGAGAGCAGACCGCCGAUGGGCCGGGCCCGGUGCCCGGUCACAGGCAAGGGUGAAACGGUGCGGUAAGAGCGCACCAUCGCCGGGGGCGACUCCGGCGGAUCGGCAAACCCCUCCCGGAGCAAGGCCAAGCAGGGAUCGGGCGGCCCGUCCGAUGAUCCCGGGUAGGCCGCUCAGAUGGAUGGCCACCCCGGCGGCAGCAGCCGACGGACAGAAUCCCGCCUACAGGCCGACUCACCGC